This is a long non-coding RNA of Canis lupus familiaris (dog), 2801 nucleotides long. RefSeq lists it as uncharacterized. NCBI's taxonomy places the organism in Eukaryota, Metazoa, Chordata, Mammalia, Carnivora, Canidae. The record is from RefSeq and is a predicted model, not a curated record. The transcript has 2 exons.
GCCUGCACCUACAUGCAAUUCCCCCAUCUUCUGUUUAGCUACCAGAGGCCCUGAGAAUCAGCCUACUUCUGAUUUUUCACUUUCGAUCACUCCAAGUCUAAUCUAAAGUGUACAUUACUCUUUUUGGCGGCCAAAAUUAAUCACAUUUUGAAUAUGGGUUGUGGAGAAUGCUAAUCAAAAUUAAAAACAAGAUGGGAGACAUCUUUAGAACCUGGGUGUUUGGACUGCUUAGGUUCAAGGAUACUAGACAGUCAUAACAUUACUUCUUGUGCACAAGGAUUCCUGUUGAUCCUCCCACAAUCCCAAGGGAUGUGUAUGGCUCUGGUCUACCUACAGGGAAGCUGACUGGGCCCAGAUUCUGGGCCAGUAAGUGACAAGAAACCAGAAGAAUGAAUGGUCAUCUCUGCUUUUUGAAAUGAAGAGCCACCUCCAGAUUUUCAGGCUUCUGUGGUUGGGGCCACAGUCUGACUUCAAAUUUACAGGUCUGCUACUAUCUCGACAUUUCCACCUGUUGGACUUGGCCCUGUCCACGCAUUAUCUUUGCUGCGCACCCCUUCUCCCGGAUUCUUGAAGCCCCGCAGGCCCUCAUCACGCCGGCGGGUGUGGGUGUUCGGUGCUCUCAGCUCAGCGCAAUCCGAAGAGCCGGCGAAGAAUCAUCACCGGUGCUUGGGGACACUAAGAACUCGUGGUAAACUGAGGCCCGAGAUUCUGUGGCAAAAGGAGUUGAUACUUCAGGGCACAGACAGGCAAGGGAUCCUAGAGCAAGGGGCUGAUGCUGAACCCCCCCUGGGAUCACACUGAGUGAUAUGGCAAAUAGAAGAGCCCAAGAGAGACAUAAGUGACCAGAAGAAGGGAAAGAGGACUAGAGGGCUAGAACUGGGAGGGAGAGACGUAAAGGGCCAGUAAGCCUCGACAGUGGGCCUAGGGACGCAGAACUUGGAGAAAGAGCCAAGGGGCAGCUGGGGUCAGCGCUGCCCGAUUACUGCCCGCUGUGGACCCAGACUCAGUUACACUGAGAUCGGAAAAAUGUCAACUAAAAGACCAAAACCAAAACACAACCAGUAAGGCCUGCAGCUAACACAGGCCGAGGGGGAGAAGUCAAAAGCCUUCCCAGGGUGCUGUCGAGGCCUCCUCCAAGGGGCUACCCUCUCUCAGGGUAAAUAUUUACUCAGUAGGAGACUGGAAGCUAACGGGGGAGGGUGGGAAGGAGCGGGCUACACGGGGUGGAGAGAAUCCGGGCGCUCCACGCUGGCAGGGACAGAGUAUACACCAGCCCGAGGGAAGCCAGGGCCCGGGACUCCAGGGGCGGCUCGCCCCGGGUGCGCGGCUGGGGUAACUUAGCCCGCAGCGCGCUCUUAGGCUAGGCUCCUGCCCUCCACUGCAGGCCCAGGCCAGAUGUUGUAAAGUCUUCAUAAACCUGUCAGCGGUCGCGGUGCCGCGGACAGUAACCUGUGGGCCCCCCUCUCGGCGCUAGCGGGAUCCAAGGAGAGACGGCGCGGAGGAACAGGAUCCAGCUCUUUCCGAGGCCGCCCUCGCGCAACCGGGCGGACGGCGCCCGCCCGGGGACUGCCGAGGUGCGACCCCGGAGCUACAGGCUGUUGAGGGAGGAGAACUCCUUCCUAGCUCUCCAACCCCACCGACGCCCCGGGCUGCUACCCCGGGGUCUGCAGGUCAGCUACGACUACGUCCCCGCGCGCGAGAGGUCCUGCCGUUCGCAGUUGCAUUUAUGAAGGGCAGAGUUGGCGGAGAAGAUUAAGGGGCAGUUUCUUCCAACUUGCCCUCCUCCUCCCCUCCUCCUGGGGACAGGACCCCGGGCAGGCGCAGGCGACGGUGCCCGCUUCUCGCCCAGCCCUGGGAGCUCCAGGGAUGGAGACGAGGCAGGCUCUGAGCUCCGGGACGGGUUUUCGGAGCCCAGUGACUUCUUCCAGCCUCGAGUGGAGGGAAUGAGGUAGAAACAAGAUCUCGAAUCCGGUCCUCCCCAGGGAGCGCCUCUUUCAGGGUAAGUGAAAGAUUGAGCGCGGCGUAGAGUAAAGGAGGCCGGACUUCAGUCCUCUGCAGACUGCGCUACCGCCCGGGCCACGGGUUCCAGCCCCGACCUGCCCACUGCUCCGUCCCGGCCACUCGGGGUCAGCGGCCGCUCCUCCGCCUACUCGACCUCCCAGCGCCUGCUGCGGCACGUGGCAGCCGGAAGCGCGCCCUGUGCCCGAGGCCAGGGAGGUCCACCCUGAGCUGCGGGCCAGGCGGGAUCUGCGCCGUAGAGCCGCGGGUGGAGUGGGGGCGGCGGCUAGAGGGAAAAGCUUUGGGGUGAGGGAGGGACGAGACUGCCAGGGCCCCAGCCCCAGCCAGGCCUCCUGGGUUGGGGUGUGGAGGUGCCCACACACUGACCUGCAGGCCUGGACUUAGCCCGGCCGCGGACGCCGCAGGAUACACCAGCCCAAAGUGAAGGCGGGGGGCCUGCGGGGGGGCAGCCCCCAGAAGGAGCCCAGAUAAUUCUCGGAGAAUCUCCAAGGACUCCCUGCCGCCUCUCUGCCUUCCUGCCGACGAUGCUUACGAUUCAAGACCUUUCCCCAGAGGACAGCAGCGUGCAGGGUCCCCAGAGCGCAGAAAUCCCGCUGCGGGGCCGUGUGAUGCGCCCCGGGGCUGAGAGCGCUCGGCACCCGCUUUCUCCUUCCAAGGGCAGGGGAGGGGCCUGUUGCAGCCUGAAACCCGCUUUUAAUUCCCCGCCUGCCUGUUUCCGAUCACCCAGGGUUGGUUUUUCUGUUUGUUCACUCCUUCUGUUACAAUAAAAACAAUCGACAUUU